UAACACAUGCAAGUCGAGCGAUUUUCUUCGGAAGAGAGCGGCGGACGGGUGAGUAACGCGUGGGUAACCUGCCCUGUACACACGGAUAACAUACCGAAAGGUAUGCUAAUACGGGAUAACAUAAGAAAGUCGCAUGGCUUUCUUAUCAAAGCUUUUGCGGUACAGGAUGGACCCGCGUCUGAUUAGCUAGUUGGUAAGGUAACGGCUUACCAAGGCGACGAUCAGUAGCCGACCUGAGAGGGUGAUCGGCCACAUUGGAACUGAGACACGGUCCAAACUCCUACGGGAGGCAGCAGUGGGGAAUAUUGCACAAUGGGCGAAAGCCUGAUGCAGCAACGCCGCGUGAGCGAUGAAGGCCUUCGGGUCGUAAAGCUCUGUCCUCAAGGAAGAUAAUGACGGUACUUGAGGAGGAAGCCCCGGCUAACUACGUGCCAGCAGCCGCGGUAAUACGUAGGGGGCUAGCGUUAUCCGGAAUUACUGGGCGUAAAGGGUGCGUAGGCGGUCUUUCAAGUCAGAAGUGAAAGGCUACGGCUCAACCGUAGUAAGCUUUUGAAACUGUAAGACUUGAGUGCAGGAGAGGAGAGUGGAAUUCCUAGUGUAGCGGUGAAAUGCGUAGAUAUUAGGAGGAACACCAGUUGCGAAGGCGGCUCUCUGGACUGUAACUGACGCUGAGGCACGAAAGCGUGGGGAGCAAACAGG
This 699-nucleotide ribosomal RNA is filed under the name uncultured Clostridium sp. RNAcentral's name for it is "bacterial SSU rRNA". It matches the Rfam family "Bacterial small subunit ribosomal RNA", at positions 49 to 776 of the family's 1533-position model. The record is from RNAcentral. Lineage: Bacteria; Bacillati; Bacillota; Clostridia; Eubacteriales; Clostridiaceae.